GACGAACGCUGGCGGCGUGCCUAAUACAUGCAAGUAGAACGCUGAAGGAGGAGCUUGCUUCUCUGGAUGAGUUGCGAACGGGUGAGUAACGCGUAGGUAACCUGCCUGGUAGUGGGGGAUAACUAUUGGAAACGAUAGCUAAUACCGCAUAAUAGUAGAUGUUGCAUGACAUUUGCUUAAAAGGUGCAAUUGCAUCACUACCAGAUGGACCUGCGUUGUAUUAGCUAGUUGGUGGGGUAACGGCUCACCAAGGCGACGAUACAUAGCCGAGCUGAGAGGGGGGUCGGCCACACUGGGACUGGGACACGGCCCAGGCUCCUACGGGGAGCAGCAGUAGGGGAACUUCGGCAAUGGGCGGAAAUCUGGCCGAGCAACGCCGCGUUAGGGGAGAAGGUUUUCGGAUCGUAAAGCUCUGUUUUAAGGGAAGAACGAGUGUGAGAGUGGAAAGUUCACGCUGUGACGGUAUCUUACCAAAAAGGGACGGCUAACUACGUG
RNAcentral lists this ribosomal RNA (495 nucleotides) under uncultured bacterium. Its description in RNAcentral is "partial 16S ribosomal RNA". It matches the Rfam family "Bacterial small subunit ribosomal RNA", at positions 28 to 507 of the family's 1533-position model. The record is from RNAcentral.